Molecule: ribosomal RNA, 419 nt
Filed under: uncultured Microcoleus sp.
Lineage: Bacteria; Bacillati; Cyanobacteriota; Cyanophyceae; Oscillatoriales; Microcoleaceae
Description: bacterial SSU rRNA
Rfam family: Bacterial small subunit ribosomal RNA
Source: RNAcentral
GUGAGGGAGGAGGCUCUUGGGUUGUAAACCUCUUUUCUCAGGGAAGAAGCUCUGACGGUACCUGAGGAAUCAGCCUCGGCUAACUCCGUGCCAGCAGCCGCGGUAAUACGGAGGAGGCAAGCGUUAUCCGGAAUUAUUGGGCGUAAAGCGUCCGCAGGUGGCGAUUCAAGUCUGCUGUCAAAGCACGGGGCUUAACUCCGUUAAGGCAGUGGAAACUGAAUGGCUAGAGUGCCGUAGGGGUAGAGGGAAUUCCCGGUGUAGCGGUGAAAUGCGUAGAGAUCGGGAAGAACAUCGGUGGCGAAAGCGCUCUACUGGACGGCAACUGACACUCAGGGACGAAAGCUAGGGGAGCGAAUGGGAUUAGAUACCUCAGUAGUCAAAUGCCGUUCCCACUGUCAACGAUCUUGUUGUUCUUCACC